RNAcentral lists this ribosomal RNA (267 nucleotides) under uncultured bacterium. Its description in RNAcentral is "partial 16S ribosomal RNA". It matches the Rfam family "Bacterial small subunit ribosomal RNA", at positions 524 to 776 of the family's 1533-position model. The record is from RNAcentral.
UACGUAGGAGGCAAGCGUUGUCCGGAAUUACUGGGCGUAAAGAGCGCGUAGGCGGCACGGUACGACCGGUGUGAAAGCCCCCGGCUCAACUGGGGAGGGUCACCGGUAACGGCCGAGCUAUGAGUGCAGGAGAGGGAAGUGGAACUCCGGGAGUAGCGGUGAAAUGCGUAGAGAUUCGGAAGAACACCCAUGGCGAAGGCAGCACUCUGGGCUUGAACCGCAAGGUGAACCUGACACUGAGGUACGAAAGCCAGGGGAGCGAACGGG